CAGGGAGACAACAAAAUGUUUAUAUUAUUAUUUUGUCACCUUAGGUCGAUCGGUAUCUCACAUUCUUAAUCAAUUAAGAAUUUCAUUUCCUAAGUUUUUUCUAGGUCACACCCAUUAUUUUUCCUGGGCCAUUAGCUCAGGUGGUUAGAGCGCACCCCUGAUAAGGGUGAGGUCCCUGGUUCAAGUCCAGGAUGGCCCAUAUCUCUAUGUUGGGGGUAUAGCUCAGUUGGUAGAGCGCCUGCUUUGCAAGCAGGAUGUCAGCGGUUCGAGUCCGCUUACCUCCACUGAUUACCACCUCUUCCAUAAUCUGUAGAAAGGAAAUUUUUUGAGUUGUGAUCAAAUUCUGAACGAAUCUAGCUUCCUAAUGAAAGUAUUAAGAUGCUGGACUCAUUGAAUUAAUUUCAUUGUUUUCAGAGAACCUUGACAACUGCAUAGAUUAUUUUUAAAGACAAUAAGCAUCUUUAAUGAUGCAGAUUUAUUAUUUGUGCGAAUGCAUUAAUAACAAUUCUAUUAAGCUGAUGCUUCAAUUUCGAAGUUAUU
Molecule: transfer RNA, 540 nt
Filed under: uncultured cyanobacterium
Lineage: Bacteria; Bacillati; Cyanobacteriota
Description: partial 16S-23S ribosomal RNA intergenic spacer
Rfam family: tRNA (bases 212-284)
Source: RNAcentral